CGAACGUUGGCGGCGUGCUUAAUACAUGCAAGUCGAGCGAGAAACGGGGGGCAACCCCCGGAGUACAGCGGCGAAAGGGUGCGUAAUACAUGGAGAACGUACCUCCUGGCUCGGGAUAACCCAGGGAAACUUGGGCUAAUACCGGAUGAUGUCCCCAUCGGGAGUCCGUAGGGGAUCAAAGAGAGAUCACCGGGAGAGCGCUCCAUGGCCUAUCAGCUAGUUGGCGGGGUAACGGCCCACCAAGGCAUUGACGGGUAGCCGGACUGAGAGGUCGACCGGCCACAUGGGCACUGAGACACGGGCCCAACAUCUACGGAUGGCAGCAGUAGGGAAUAUUGCGCAAUGGGCGAAAGCCUGACGCAGCGACGCCGCGUGGAGGACGAAGGCCUUCGGGUUGUAAACUCCUUUCGGGGGGGAAGAACACUGACUUAACCCCCAGAAGAAGCACCGGCUAACUCCGU
This 461-nucleotide ribosomal RNA is filed under the name uncultured bacterium. RNAcentral describes it as "bacterial SSU rRNA". It matches the Rfam family "Bacterial small subunit ribosomal RNA", at positions 30 to 506 of the family's 1533-position model. The record is from RNAcentral.